This 253-nucleotide ribosomal RNA is filed under the name uncultured bacterium. Its description in RNAcentral is "partial 16S ribosomal RNA". It matches the Rfam family "Bacterial small subunit ribosomal RNA", at positions 524 to 776 of the family's 1533-position model. The record is from RNAcentral.
UACGCAGGGUGCAAGCGUUAAUCGGAAUUACUGGGCGUAAAGCGUGCGCAGGCGGUUUUGUAAGUCUGUCGUGAAAUCCCCGGGCUUAACCUGGGAAUGGCGAUGGAGACUGCAAGGCUAGAGUUUGGCAGAGGGGGGUAGAAUUCCACGUGUAGCAGUGAAAUGCGUAGAGAUGUGGAGGAACACCGAUGGCGAAGGCAGCCCCCUGGGUCAAAACUGACGCUCAUGCACGAAAGCGUGGGGAGCAAACAGG